This 515-nucleotide ribosomal RNA is filed under the name uncultured bacterium. Its description in RNAcentral is "bacterial SSU rRNA". It matches the Rfam family "Bacterial small subunit ribosomal RNA", at positions 8 to 518 of the family's 1533-position model. The record is from RNAcentral.
AGAGUUUGAUUAUGGCUCAGGAUGAACGCUAGCUACAGGCUUAACACAUGCAAGUCGAGGGGUAGCAGGGUAGCAAUACCGCUGACGACCGGCGCACGGGUGAGUAACACGUAUCCAACUUCCCAUAACUCAGGGAUAGCCUUUCGAAAGAAAGAUUAAUACCUGAUGGUACCUUUUUCUGGGCAUCCAGUUAAGGUUAAAGAUUUUAUCGGUUAUGGAUGGGGAUGCGUUCCAUUAGAUUGUUGGUGAGGUAACGGCUCACCAAGUCUUCGAUGGAUAGGGGUUCUGAGAGGAAGGUCCCCCACAUUGGUACUGAGACACGGACCAAACUCCUACGGGAGGCAGCAGUGAGGAAUAUUGGUCAAUGGGCGAGAGCCUGAACCAGCCAAGUAGCGUGAAAGGAUGAAGGUCCUAUGGAUUGUAAACUUCUUUUAUAACAGAAUAAAGUGAGCCACGUGUGGUUUUUUGUAUGUAUGUUAUGAAUAAGGAUCGGCUAACUCCGUGCCAGCCGCCGC